AUGUGUACUAAUUGCACAAAAUGUAGCUCCACCCCCCUCUGCUUCACAACUGUGCAAAACCAAAGUUCAAUUCCUCUCCGACCCUCAAAGACUUCGUCCAGUCGCCGGAGGUUUCAUCAGAGUGGUGAAAAUCGGUCGACUCCGUCUUUCUCCAGAGAAAAUCGGUGAAGUCAUUGCAAAGAAAACUGUAAAGAAUAGGAAGGGUUUUCAGGUAACCGUGCAAAAUCGUCUAUUUUAUAUGAAUUUUGACUUCUCCCCCUUUAUCCCUCGUGGUCAGAAUUAACUACAGAGGAUGGCGGUGACAAGCCAAGUCUUGAUGCCGACGAGUUCAUUUACCUUUUGCACUGGUCGUUUCUCUUUUGCUAUAUUUAUUGUUUACAUGUUAGAUCCAUAUGUGUAUAUGUGUUGUUGCAUGUUGGUAAAUUAUGUACUAAUUAGAGAAAUUAAUAUUUUAACCUUAGGUUUAAAGUUGUGGUUCUUUAGAAAUUGGGGGAUUUUAGAAUCAAACCGAUCUCUAAACUACAGAUAGUCCUAUUUAGAGUUCAGAGGCAACAAAUGGACGAAAACUAUUAUGAAACUACUUGAUAGAGCUACGGACGACUCAUUUAGCGAGGUAAUGAAUUGAAUUUUC
RNAcentral lists this long non-coding RNA (631 nucleotides) under Solanum tuberosum (potato). RNAcentral's name for it is "long non-coding RNA (STUB_LNC005805)". The record is from RNAcentral. Lineage: Eukaryota; Viridiplantae; Streptophyta; Magnoliopsida; Solanales; Solanaceae.